RNAcentral lists this small RNA (891 nucleotides) under Epicoccum sorghinum. RNAcentral's name for it is "eukaryotic LSU rRNA". It matches the Rfam family "Eukaryotic large subunit ribosomal RNA", at positions 50 to 959 of the family's 3401-position model. Lineage: Eukaryota; Fungi; Ascomycota; Dothideomycetes; Pleosporales; Didymellaceae. The record is from RNAcentral.
GCGGAGGAAAAGAAACCAACAGGGAUUGCCCUAGUAACGGCGAGUGAAGCGGCAACAGCUCAAAUUUGAAAUCUGGCGUCUUUGGCGUCCGAGUUGUAAUUUGCAGAGGGCGCUUUGGCAUUGGCAGCGGUCCAAGUUCCUUGGAACAGGACGUCACAGAGGGUGAGAAUCCCGUACGUGGUCGCUAGCCUUUACCGUGUAAAGCCCCUUCGACGAGUCGAGUUGUUUGGGAAUGCAGCUCUAAAUGGGAGGUAAAUUUCUUCUAAAGCUAAAUACUGGCCAGAGACCGAUAGCGCACAAGUAGAGUGAUCGAAAGAUGAAAAGCACUUUGGAAAGAGAGUUAAAAAGCACGUGAAAUUGUUGAAAGGGAAGCGCUUGCAGCCAGACUUGCCUGUAGUUGCUCAUCCGGGUUUUUACCCGGUGCACUCUUCUACGGGCAGGCCAGCAUCAGUUUGGGCGGUUGGAUAAAGGUCUCUGUCAUGUACCUCCUCUCGGGGAGAACUUAUAGGGGAGACGACAUGCAACCAGCCCGGACUGAGGUCCGCGCAUCUGCUAGGAUGCUGGCGUAAUGGCUGUAAGCGGCCCGUCUUGAAACACGGACCAAGGAGUCUAACAUCUAUGCGAGUGUUUGGGUGUCAAGCCCGAGCGCGUAAUGAAAGUGAACGGAGGUGGGAACCUUUCGGGGUGCACCAUCGACCGAUCCUGAUGUCUUCGGAUGGAUUUGAGUAAGAGCAUAGCUGUUGGGACCCGAAAGAUGGUGAACUAUGCUUGAAUAGGGUGAAGCCAGAGGAAACUCUGGUGGAGGCUCGCAGCGGUUCUGACGUGCAAAUCGAUCGUCAAAUUUGGGCAUAGGGGCGAAAGACUAAUCGAACUAUCUAGUAGCUGGUUCUG